This is a non-coding RNA of Alternaria rosae, 89 nucleotides long. Lineage: Eukaryota; Fungi; Ascomycota; Dothideomycetes; Pleosporales; Pleosporaceae. The record is from the annotation of a RefSeq genome assembly.
GGUCGGUUGGCGCAAUGGUAGCGCGUGGCCCUCCUAUUCCCUUGAAUAAUCAAAGGCCAAGGUUGCGGGUUCGAGUCCCGUGCUGAUCG